GGUCUUAUAAUCUUAAAGAUUUUAAAUUGCAAAUUUAAAUAGAAUUAUACAAUAAUUUAAGGCUU
Molecule: transfer RNA, 65 nt
Filed under: Coniopteryx sp. YW-2016
Lineage: Eukaryota; Metazoa; Arthropoda; Insecta; Neuroptera; Coniopterygidae
Description: tRNA-Cys
Source: RNAcentral